Molecule: ribosomal RNA, 253 nt
Filed under: uncultured bacterium
Lineage: Bacteria
Description: partial 16S ribosomal RNA
Rfam family: Bacterial small subunit ribosomal RNA
Source: RNAcentral
UACGAAGGGGGCUAGCGUUGCUCGGAAUCACUGGGCGUAAAGGGUGCGUAGGCGGCUCUUUAAGUCAGGGGUGAAAUCCUGGAGCUCAACUCCAGAACUGCCUUUGAUACUGAGGAUCUUGAGUUCGGGAGAGGUGAGUGGAACUGCGAGUGUAGAGGUGAAAUUCGUAGAUAUUCGCAAGAACACCAGUGGCGAAGGCGGCUCACUGGCCCGAUACUGACGCUGAGGCACGAAAGCGUGGGGAGCAAACAGG